RNAcentral lists this ribosomal RNA (253 nucleotides) under uncultured bacterium. RNAcentral describes it as "partial 16S ribosomal RNA". It matches the Rfam family "Bacterial small subunit ribosomal RNA", at positions 524 to 776 of the family's 1533-position model. The record is from RNAcentral.
UACGAAGGGAGCUAGCGUUGUUCGGAAUCACUGGGCGUAAAGCGCACGUAGGCGGAUGUGUCAGUCAGGGGUGAAAUCCCGGAGCUCAACUUCGGAACUGCCUUUGAUACAGCACGUCUUGAGUCCGAUAGAGGUGGGUGGAAUUCCUAGUGUAGAGGUGAAAUUCGUAGAUAUUAGGAAGAACACCGGUGGCGAAGGCGGCCCACUGGAUCGGUAUUGACGCUGAUGCGCGAAAGCCAGGGGAGCAAACGGG